UACGUAGGGAGCAAGCGUUGUCCGGAUUUACUGGGCGUAAAGAGCUCGUAGGCGGUUUGCCAAGUCGGAAGUGAAAUCUCCAGGCUCAACCUGGAGCGUGCUUUCGAUACUGGUAUGACUUGAGUACGGUAGAGGAGUGUGGAAUUCCUAGUGUAGCGGUGAAAUGCGCAGAUAUUAGGAGGAACACCUAUGGCGAAGGCAGCACUCUGGGCCGAAACUGACGCUGAGGAGCGAAAGCGUGGGGAGCGAACAGG
Molecule: ribosomal RNA, 254 nt
Filed under: uncultured bacterium
Lineage: Bacteria
Description: partial 16S ribosomal RNA
Rfam family: Bacterial small subunit ribosomal RNA
Source: RNAcentral